AUGAAUCUGUUGUGCUGGAAUUGUCGUGGGAUUGGCAACGCCCCGACAAUUCAAGAGCUACGCGAACUCGCGAAAAAGUUUGCCCCUAGAGUACUUGCCAUUGUUGAAACACAGAUUAGUAGUGUUAGAGCUGAAAAUCUGAAAAGUACUGUAGGAUAUGAUAACUCUUUUGCUGUUGAUUCCUCCGGUAGGAGUGGAGGUUUAGCUUUGUUUUGGAAUAAUAAAAUAGAAGUUGAGAUUUUGGAUUACUCGAAGUAUCAUACCAUGCGAAAAUUAGUGAUCUUGGUGGAGACCCAUGGCGUUUUUCCUUUUUUUAUGGUGAGGCUCAAACUCACCUUCGUCAGAACACGUGGGACACAAUGA
Molecule: ribosomal RNA, 363 nt
Filed under: Triticum aestivum (bread wheat)
Lineage: Eukaryota; Viridiplantae; Streptophyta; Magnoliopsida; Poales; Poaceae
Description: partial small subunit ribosomal RNA
Source: RNAcentral